This 69-nucleotide transfer RNA is filed under the name Dipodomys ordii (Ord's kangaroo rat). It matches the Rfam family "tRNA". From Rfam's summary of the family: Transfer RNA (tRNA) molecules are approximately 80 nucleotides in length. The record is from Rfam by way of RNAcentral. Lineage: Eukaryota; Metazoa; Chordata; Mammalia; Rodentia; Heteromyidae.
UGGGAUGUAGCUCAGUGGCAGAGCGCUUGUCUAGCAAGAUAACGUCCUGGGUUUGAUCCCCAGUACCAA